CCGAUAGUGCCUGCUACCUCUUUUUUUUUAAAAAAAAAAACCAAAAACCUUUCUAAAAUUCUAAAUUCUAAAAGAAAUUGCAAUAAUUAAAAAAAAACAAAAACACAAAAACCAACCAAAAACCAAACAAACCAAAAUACAAAAAAAUAAACCCCAAAACCAAAAAAACCAAAGCACUUACCAUUCUGACCUCAUAGUGCUUUGUCAUGGGCUUAAAAAAAAAACCAAACCCACAGACACAUAAAGACACAGACAGACACACAGACACCGACACGCACAAACAAACACGCGCGCGUAUUUAUGCGUUUUCAAAACAUUUGUGCCAGGGUCACGAAGGGGAUGUGGGGAGCUGCCGGCGCAGCGCAGAGCAGAGCGGUCGCUGCACAAAAGGAGGGCGAGCCCCGCAGCCCGGACCCACCAAGCGCGCCCCGCACCACCGCCCCUCCAGACCACGCAGGAACAGCAAGAGUUUGGUCUUAGAUUCCUCUGUACCUUUCUACCCUGCUUCUACAUUCACCCAAUUUGAAGUGACUGAAGACUAGUUACUGGAAAACUAGUGAAUUUCCUUACUAUUGUCUGGAAUUUGAGGAGGUCUGGAUGAUUGCAUCUUUUAAAAAAGAAAUCCUUUCAUCCUUUUCUUUUUCUGGAAAACCUCCGACCCUCAAAAAUGUAGGUAAUGGAAA
This 683-nucleotide long non-coding RNA is filed under the name Cyanistes caeruleus (blue tit). RNAcentral's name for it is "lncRNA (ENSCCEG00000014514.1)". Lineage: Eukaryota; Metazoa; Chordata; Aves; Passeriformes; Paridae. The record is from RNAcentral.